CCCAUAUCGAUUCAAGAGGAGAGGAGGGCCAUGGAGGGAGAAGCCUGCUGCUGCAAUACCUACCUUGUCGUCCUCAUGGUGGGGUGUAGUUGAGGUCUGGGAGAUCCAUGUUCUCCAGGCAACUGAAAAGAACUUUCAAGAUUGUUUUAAAGAAGGGCUAUUGAAAAAAGAUGUGUGAGAGUAUUAGUGACUCUCAUGUGGGCUUGCCACACUUUUCAG
Triticum aestivum (bread wheat) is the source of this 219-nucleotide long non-coding RNA. RefSeq lists it as uncharacterized. The record is from RefSeq and is a predicted model, not a curated record. NCBI's taxonomy places the organism in Eukaryota, Viridiplantae, Streptophyta, Magnoliopsida, Poales, Poaceae. The transcript has 3 exons.